This is a long non-coding RNA of Belonocnema kinseyi, 253 nucleotides long. RefSeq lists it as uncharacterized. Lineage: Eukaryota; Metazoa; Arthropoda; Insecta; Hymenoptera; Cynipidae. The transcript is spliced from 2 exons. The record is from RefSeq and is a predicted model, not a curated record.
AAUUCGGAAAACACAACAAAUAUUACAUUUUUAGUCACACUGCGCACGAGAGAACGGUUACUUUUUCAUAAUGAAGAUAUUUCUACCGACUUUAGUGCACAUAUCUUUAGUUUUUGUUGCAUUUUAUCUGGGAGGGACUUCAAUGGGUGAUGAUCCCCGGGUUGGGCUUGAUUAUUUCGUCUUUUGAUCUUAAUCAUGUCACACGUAUUACCUAAAAUGUUCUUCAUGCUCAAUAAAUGAAUAAAAAUCUAAA